This 212-nucleotide ribosomal RNA is filed under the name uncultured bacterium. Its description in RNAcentral is "partial 16S ribosomal RNA". It matches the Rfam family "Bacterial small subunit ribosomal RNA", at positions 120 to 334 of the family's 1533-position model. The record is from RNAcentral.
GGAGGACUGCCUGAUGGAGGGGGAUAACUACUGGAAACGGUAGCUAAUACCGCAUAACGUCGCAAGACCAAAGAGGGGGACCUUCGGGCCUCUUGCCAUCGGAUGUGCCCAGAUGGGAUUAGCUAGUAGGUGGGGUAACGGCUCACCUAGGCGACGAUCCCUAGCUGGUCUGAGAGGAUGACCAGCCACACUGGAACUGAGACACGGUCCAG